RNAcentral lists this ribosomal RNA (800 nucleotides) under uncultured bacterium. RNAcentral's name for it is "bacterial SSU rRNA". It matches the Rfam family "Bacterial small subunit ribosomal RNA", at positions 8 to 802 of the family's 1533-position model. The record is from RNAcentral.
AGAGUUUGAUCCUGGCUCAGAUUGAACGCUGGCGGAAUGCUUUACACAUGCAAGUCGAACGGCAGCACGGACUUCGGUCUGGUGGCGAGUGGCGAACGGGUGAGUAACAUAUCGGAACGUAUCCAAUAAUGGGGGAUAACUAAUCGAAAGGUUGGCUAAUACCGCAUACGCCCUACGGGGGAAAGCUAGGGACCUUCGGGCCUGGCGUUAAUGGAGCGGCCGAUAUCUGAUUAGCUAGUUGGUGAGGUAAAGGCUCACCAAGGCGACGAUCAGUAGCUGGUCUGAGAGGACGACCAGCCACACUGGAACUGAGACACGGUCCAGACUCCUACGGGAGGCAGCAGUGGGGAAUUUUGGACAAUGGGCGCAAGCCUGAUCCAGCCAUUCCGCGUGAGUGAAGAAGGCCUUCGGGUUGUAAAGCUCUUUCGCAAGGGAAGAAAACUUAGUUACUAAUAUUAACUGAGGUUGACGGUACCUUGAUAAGAAGCACCGGCUAACUACGUGCCAGCAGCCGCGGUAAUACGUAGGGUGCGAGCGUUAAUCGGAAUUACUGGGCGUAAAGCGUGCGCAGGCUGUUUUGUAAGUCAGAUGUGAAAUCCCCGAGCUCAACUUGGGAACUGCGUUUGAAACUACAAGACUAGAAUAUGUCAGAGGGGGGUAGCAUUCCACGUGUAGCAGUGAAAUGCGUAGAGAUGUGGAGGAAUAUCAAUGGCGAAGGCAGCCCCCUGGGAUAAUAUUGACGCUCAUGCACGAAAAGCGUGGGGAGCAAACAGGAUUAGAUACCCUGGUAGUCCACGCCC